CCUACGGGAGGCAGCAGUGAGGAAUAUUGGUCAAUGGGCGCGAGCCUGAACCAGCCAAGUCGCGUGAGGGAAGACGGUCCUAUGGAUUGUAAACCUCUUUUGUCGGGGAGCAAAAGACGCCACGCGUGGCGUUCCGAGAGUACCCGAAGAAAAAGCGUCGGCUAACUCCGUGCCAGCAGCCGCGGUAAUACGGAGGAUGCGAGCGUUAUCCGGAUUUAUUGGGUUUAAAGGGUGCGCAGGCGGAAGAUCAAGUCAGCGGUAAAAUUGAGAGGCUCAACCUCUUCGAGCCGUUGAAACUGGUGUUCUUGAGUGAGUGAGAAGUAUGCGGAAUGCGUGGUGUAGCGGUGAAAUGCAUAGAUAUCACGCAGAACUCUGAUUGCGAAGGCAGCAUACCGGCGCUCAACUGACGCUCAUGCACGAAAGUGUGGGUAUCGAACAGGAUUAGAUACCCCUGUAGUC
This 459-nucleotide ribosomal RNA is filed under the name uncultured bacterium. RNAcentral describes it as "partial 16S ribosomal RNA". It matches the Rfam family "Bacterial small subunit ribosomal RNA", at positions 338 to 795 of the family's 1533-position model. The record is from RNAcentral.